Molecule: non-coding RNA, 192 nt
Filed under: Bacillota bacterium
Lineage: Bacteria; Bacillati; Bacillota
Description: Firmicutes bacterium T-box sequence
Rfam family: T-box leader
About the family: Uncharged tRNA acts as the effector for transcription antitermination of genes in the T-box leader family. T-boxes are found upstream of many aminoacyl-tRNA synthetase genes and some amino acid biosynthetic genes usually in Gram-positive bacteria.
Source: RNAcentral
AGUUUGACAGAGAAAGAAAUAAGUAGAAUCUUUAUUGGACAGUUUAGAGAUAAGAUGUUUGGUGAAAAUCUUACAAGAUAAAGCUUUGAAGCUAUUCUGGAGUUGAACCGCAUUCGGCGUUAUCGAAGAAUUAAGGGAUCAAGAAAGAAUUCUUGGUAACUAGGAUGGUACCGCGUAUUUUACGUUCCUAGA